This 269-nucleotide ribosomal RNA is filed under the name uncultured prokaryote. Its description in RNAcentral is "partial 16S ribosomal RNA". It matches the Rfam family "Bacterial small subunit ribosomal RNA", at positions 524 to 792 of the family's 1533-position model. The record is from RNAcentral.
UACGGAGCAGGCAAGCGUUGUUCGGAAUUACUGGGCUUAAAGCGCGUGUAGGCGGCCUGGCAAGUACCGUGUGAAAGCCCUCGGCUCAACCGAGGAACUGCUUGGUAUACUGCCGGACUUGAGGCGGGUAGGGGUGCUUGGAACCCUAGGUGGAGCGGUGAAAUGCGUAGAGAUCUAGGGGAACGCCAGUGGCGAAAGCGGAGCACUGGGCCCGACCUGACGCUGAGACGCGAAAGCGUAGGUAGCGAACGGGAUUAGAUACCCGCGUA